RNAcentral lists this small nucleolar RNA (138 nucleotides) under Ornithorhynchus anatinus (platypus). The record is from RNAcentral. Lineage: Eukaryota; Metazoa; Chordata; Mammalia; Monotremata; Ornithorhynchidae.
AUCCUCUCAGAAUUGCACCUAGAGAGUUUCCAGUACUCUACCAGUUUUGACGACGGGAGGGAGAGUCAAGCAGAGGCCUAACCAUUCCAUUCCUGGCUUGGGCAGUGACUAGCGAAUGGAAGGCAAUCUGCUACAAGU